This 79-nucleotide transfer RNA is filed under the name Acidobacteriota bacterium. RNAcentral's name for it is "Acidobacteria bacterium (activated sludge metagenome) tRNA-Arg". It matches the Rfam family "tRNA". Rfam says of the family: Transfer RNA (tRNA) molecules are approximately 80 nucleotides in length. Their secondary structure includes four short double-helical elements and three loops (D, anti-codon, and T loops). Further hydrogen bonds mediate the characteristic L-shaped molecular structure. tRNAs have two regions of fundamental functional importance: the anti-codon, which is responsible for specific mRNA codon recognition, and the 3' end, to which the tRNAs corresponding amino acid is attached (by aminoacyl-tRNA synthetases). tRNAs cope with the degeneracy of the genetic code in two manners: having more than one tRNA (with a specific anti-codon) for a particular amino acid; and 'wobble' base-pairing, i.e. permitting non-standard base-pairing at the 3rd anti-codon position. The record is from RNAcentral. Lineage: Bacteria; Pseudomonadati; Acidobacteriota.
GGUGAUGUAGCUCAGCGGAAAUGAGAGCAGCGGUUUCCUACACCGCCGGUCGUGAGUUCAAAUCUCACCAUCACCUCCA